Molecule: ribosomal RNA, 253 nt
Filed under: uncultured bacterium
Lineage: Bacteria
Description: partial 16S ribosomal RNA
Rfam family: Bacterial small subunit ribosomal RNA
Source: RNAcentral
UACGUAGGGCGCAAGCGUUGUCCGGAAUUAUUGGGCGUAAAGAGCUCGUAGGCGGCUUGUCGCGUCUGUUGUGAAAGCCCGGGGCUUAACCCCGGGUCUGCAGUGGAUACGGGCAGGCUAGAGGCAGGUAGGGGAGAACGGAAUUCCCGGUGUAGCGGUGAAAUGCGUAGAUAUCGAGAGGAACACCUGCGGCGAAGGCGGGUUGCUGGGCUGAUACUGACGCUGAGGCGCGAAAGCCAGGGGAGCGAACGGG